GGUGUAAAAAGUAGUUCCAGGGUGAUGCUCAGCAUGGUGUAGAAAGUAGUUCCAGGGUGAUGUUCGGCAUGAUGUCAAAAGUAGUUCGAGGGCGAUAUUCAGCACGGUGUAAAAAGUAGUUCGAGGGUGAUUUUCAACAUG
Long non-coding RNA from Melanotaenia boesemani (Boeseman's rainbowfish), 141 nucleotides. RefSeq lists it as uncharacterized. The transcript has 2 exons. Lineage: Eukaryota; Metazoa; Chordata; Actinopteri; Atheriniformes; Melanotaeniidae. The record is from RefSeq and is a predicted model, not a curated record.